This 1136-nucleotide long non-coding RNA is filed under the name Heterocephalus glaber (naked mole-rat). RNAcentral's name for it is "lncRNA (ENSHGLG00100048886.1)". Lineage: Eukaryota; Metazoa; Chordata; Mammalia; Rodentia; Bathyergidae. The record is from RNAcentral.
UUUCUUACUCUUCUUAAUCAAGUUAGACUACCUUCAACAGUAUUUUGCAUGCUUCAGUAAGCUAGAAAGACUGAAAGUUAAACACUUUACUUAGGCACAUCAUUUUUUAGACUAGGUACUUGUGCACUCAGGACCGGUAUGUAUUAUUCAUUUUACACUUGAAUUUAACUUUAUUUGCUCAUAAAAGCAAUACACAGAGGCUUCUGCAGAUUGUCACGGAUGGAUUCGGCCGAGUGAGGACUGGAGAAACGGAAAGCCCGGAAGUCUCGGGGAAGAAAGCUGUUGCCAGUGUGAGUGUGACGUUUGAGUACUCUGAGCAUUAGUAGGGCGUGCUCUCCGUGGCAGCCUGGAGCUGCAUCUCUCCUGCUGCCGUGGGUACCAGCAGCUGGCGGGCACUUCUGCCUCUGAGGCCGGCGCUUCCCCGCUGGGCCUUGUUACCACAGCUUCCCUCUGUGCACACCAAGCUGCGGCCUCUGUUAGACACCAGCAGCCGCCCCACACGCAGGGUCACCGUGAGGGUGUCUGCUGCAGCCCGCCGUCCCCCGCCUGUCCCUGUCUGACCUCUCCCCGCGUCCUGGAAUCAGUACUUCCUGUGGCGGUUGUGGUUGGGUUGGUACCUAACUUCCUGCCUCGUAUGGCUCUGGGCCUCGUUUUCGCUUCAUUUUUCUGAGAAAGUAGUAUUUUACGUAACUUCUUUGUAAUCUGGUACCUUCGGUACAUUGUCUGUGGUAAUGAUUAUGAACUUGGGCUCCUGUAGCCUCGCUGUGGCAGAGAGUGCCUACCUGCCUGCUGUCACCUGUUUCUCCUUUGGAAGCGGUACCCUGAUUUACUCAGAGUGGGCAGGCCCACUGUCCUCAGAGAGACUAGGACGCGGCCCAUCCCGAGGACGCGCCCUGAAUCCAUGUGGGUGGACGCGGAGCCCCACCUCCGUUCAGCCGAGCCGAGGCCACAGCUUUGCACACGAAGCCAGUGGAUGUCACAGCCGUUCCACAGCCAGGAAGCAGCAGAUAUUUCGGAGAACCCUUCCAGACCACAGUCCACUCACUCCUGAAAUGACCCAGGGUUUGAGAGUCGGCUCCGGUGACAACGAGGUGUCUGGGCUGAGGAGCUGAGCCCGGGACAGCAGCAGGAGCCAG